RNAcentral lists this ribosomal RNA (2923 nucleotides) under Staphylococcus aureus. RNAcentral's name for it is "23S ribosomal RNA". It matches the Rfam family "Bacterial large subunit ribosomal RNA". The record is from RNAcentral. Lineage: Bacteria; Bacillati; Bacillota; Bacilli; Caryophanales; Staphylococcaceae.
GAUUAAGUUAUUAAGGGCGCACGGUGGAUGCCUUGGCACUAGAAGCCGAUGAAGGACGUUACUAACGACGAUAUGCUUUGGGGAGCUGUAAGUAAGCUUUGAUCCAGAGAUUUCCGAAUGGGGAAACCCAGCAUGAGUUAUGUCAUGUUAUCGAUAUGUGAAUACAUAGCAUAUCAGAAGGCACACCCGGAGAACUGAAACAUCUUAGUGCCCGGAGGAAGAGAAAGAAAAUUCGAUUCCCUUAGUAGCGGCGAGCGAAAUGGGAAGAGCCCAAACCAACAAGCUUGCUUGUUGGGGUUGUAGGACACUCUAUACGGAGUUACAAAGGACGACAUUAGACGAAUCAUCUGGAAAGAUGAAUCAAAGAAGGUAAUAAUCCUGUAGUCGAAAAUGUUGUCUCUCUUGAGUGGAUCCUGAGUACGACGGAGCACGUGAAAUUCCGUCGGAAUCUGGGAGGACCAUCUCCUAAGGCUAAAUACUCUCUAGUGACCGAUAGUGAACCAGUACCGUGAGGGAAAGGUGAAAAGCACCCCGGAAGGGGAGUGAAAUAGAACCUGAAACCGUGUGCUUACAAGUAGUCAGAGCCCGUUAAUGGGUGAUGGCGUGCCUUUUGUAGAAUGAACCGGCGAGUUACGAUUUGAUGCAAGGUUAAGCAGUAAAUGUGGAGCCGUAGCGAAAGCGAGUCUGAAUAGGGCGUUUAGUAUUUGGUCGUAGACCCGAAACCAGGUGAUCUACCCUUGGUCAGGUUGAAGUUCAGGUAACACUGAAUGGAGGACCGAACCGACUUACGUUGAAAAGUGAGCGGAUGAACUGAGGGUAGCGGAGAAAUUCCAAUCGAACCUGGAGAUAGCUGGUUCUCUCCGAAAUAGCUUUAGGGCUAGCCUCAAGUGAUGAUUAUUGGAGGUAGAGCACUGUUUGGACGAGGGGCCCCUCUCGGGUUACCGAAUUCAGACAAACUCCGAAUGCCAAUUAAUUUAACUUGGGAGUCAGAACAUGGGUGAUAAGGUCCGUGUUCGAAAGGGAAACAGCCCAGACCACCAGCUAAGGUCCCAAAAUAUAUGUUAAGUGGAAAAGGAUGUGGCGUUGCCCAGACAACUAGGAUGUUGGCUUAGAAGCAGCCAUCAUUUAAAGAGUGCGUAAUAGCUCACUAGUCGAGUGACACUGCGCCGAAAAUGUACCGGGGCUAAACAUAUUACCGAAGCUGUGGAUUGUCCUUUGGACAAUGGUAGGAGAGCGUUCUAAGGGCGUUGAAGCAUGAUCGUAAGGACAUGUGGAGCGCUUAGAAGUGAGAAUGCCGGUGUGAGUAGCGAAAGACGGGUGAGAAUCCCGUCCACCGAUUGACUAAGGUUUCCAGAGGAAGGCUCGUCCGCUCUGGGUUAGUCGGGUCCUAAGCUGAGGCCGACAGGCGUAGGCGAUGGAUAACAGGUUGAUAUUCCUGUACCACCUAUAAUCGUUUUAAUCGAUGGGGGGACGCAGUAGGAUAGGCGAAGCGUGCGAUUGGAUUGCACGUCUAAGCAGUAAGGCUGAGUAUUAGGCAAAUCCGGUACUCGUUAAGGCUGAGCUGUGAUGGGGAGAAGACAUUGUGUCUUCGAGUCGUUGAUUUCACACUGCCGAGAAAAGCCUCUAGAUAGAAAAUAGGUGCCCGUACCGCAAACCGACACAGGUAGUCAAGAUGAGAAUUCUAAGGUGAGCGAGCGAACUCUCGUUAAGGAACUCGGCAAAAUGACCCCGUAACUUCGGGAGAAGGGGUGCUCUUUAGGGUUAACGCCCAGAAGAGCCGCAGUGAAUAGGCCCAAGCGACUGUUUAUCAAAAACACAGGUCUCUGCUAAACCGUAAGGUGAUGUAUAGGGGCUGACGCCUGCCCGGUGCUGGAAGGUUAAGAGGAGUGGUUAGCUUCUGCGAAGCUACGAAUCGAAGCCCCAGUAAACGGCGGCCGUAACUAUAACGGUCCUAAGGUAGCGAAAUUCCUUGUCGGGUAAGUUCCGACCCGCACGAAAGGCGUAACGAUUUGGGCACUGUCUCAACGAGAGACUCGGUGAAAUCAUAGUACCUGUGAAGAUGCAGGUUACCCGCGACAGGACGGAAAGACCCCGUGGAGCUUUACUGUAGCCUGAUAUUGAAAUUCGGCACAGCUUGUACAGGAUAGGUAGGAGCCUUUGAAACGUGAGCGCUAGCUUACGUGGAGGCGCUGGUGGGAUACUACCCUAGCUGUGUUGGCUUUCUAACCCGCACCACUUAUCGUGGUGGGAGACAGUGUCAGGCGGGCAGUUUGACUGGGGCGGUCGCCUCCUAAAAGGUAACGGAGGCGCUCAAAGGUUCCCUCAGAAUGGUUGGAAAUCAUUCAUAGAGUGUAAAGGCAUAAGGGAGCUUGACUGCGAGACCUACAAGUCGAGCAGGGUCGAAAGACGGACUUAGUGAUCCGGUGGUUCCGCAUGGAAGGGCCAUCGCUCAACGGAUAAAAGCUACCCCGGGGAUAACAGGCUUAUCUCCCCCAAGAGUUCACAUCGACGGGGAGGUUUGGCACCUCGAUGUCGGCUCAUCGCAUCCUGGGGCUGUAGUCGGUCCCAAGGGUUGGGCUGUUCGCCCAUUAAAGCGGUACGCGAGCUGGGUUCAGAACGUCGUGAGACAGUUCGGUCCCUAUCCGUCGUGGGCGUAGGAAAUUUGAGAGGAGCUGUCCUUAGUACGAGAGGACCGGGAUGGACAUACCUCUGGUGUACCAGUUGUCGUGCCAACGGCAUAGCUGGGUAGCUAUGUGUGGACGGGAUAAGUGCUGAAAGCAUCUAAGCAUGAAGCCCCCCUCAAGAUGAGAUUUCCCAACUUCGGUUAUAAGAUCCCUCAAAGAUGAUGAGGUUAAUAGGUUCGAGGUGGAAGCAUGGUGACAUGUGGAGCUGACGAAUACUAAUCGAUCGAAGACUUAAUCAA